This is a transfer RNA of Selaginella moellendorffii, 74 nucleotides long. It matches the Rfam family "tRNA". Rfam says of the family: Transfer RNA (tRNA) molecules are approximately 80 nucleotides in length. Their secondary structure includes four short double-helical elements and three loops (D, anti-codon, and T loops). NCBI's taxonomy places the organism in Eukaryota, Viridiplantae, Streptophyta, Lycopodiopsida, Selaginellales, Selaginellaceae. The record is from Rfam.
GGCCGCGUAGCGCAGUGGAUUAGCGCGUAAGACUUCGGAUCUGAAGGUCGUGGGUCCGAAUCCCACCGUUGUCG